RNAcentral lists this ribosomal RNA (253 nucleotides) under uncultured bacterium. RNAcentral's name for it is "partial 16S ribosomal RNA". It matches the Rfam family "Bacterial small subunit ribosomal RNA", at positions 524 to 776 of the family's 1533-position model. The record is from RNAcentral.
GACGUAGGGUGCAAGCGUUGUCCGGAAUUAUUGGGCGUAAAGAGUUCGUAGGCGGUUACUUAAGUCUGGUGUUAAAGCCCGAUGCUCAACGUCGGCAUGGCAUUGGAAACUGGGUAGCUAGAGUGUGUCAGAGGUUACGGGAAUUCCUGGUGUAACGGUGAAAUGCGUAGAUAUCAGGAGGAACACCUGUGGCGAAAGCGCGUAACUGGGGCAUAACUGACGCUGAGGAACGAAAGCCAGGGUAUCCAAAGGG